ACUCGUGAACUGUGGGGCUUAAUGUCUCCCCCUUCAGAUCCGGGUGCGGGAAUAUCCGCUUAACCGACCCACAAGGAG
RNAcentral lists this non-coding RNA (78 nucleotides) under unclassified sequences. RNAcentral describes it as "L20-Deltaproteobacteria ribosomal protein leader". It matches the Rfam family "L20-Deltaproteobacteria ribosomal protein leader". The record is from RNAcentral.